RNA transcript from Miniopterus natalensis, 2723 nucleotides. It is a transcript of the gene named NADH:ubiquinone oxidoreductase subunit V3, with no coding region annotated. The record is from RefSeq and is a predicted model, not a curated record. NCBI's taxonomy places the organism in Eukaryota, Metazoa, Chordata, Mammalia, Chiroptera, Miniopteridae.
AGGGCGGCCUCCGAGUUCCAGAGAUGGCGGCCUUCUUUCUGCUCCGGCAAGGACGAGCCCGGGCGCUGAAGACUAUGCUCCUAGAAGGACAAGUGUUUCGAGGACUUGCUCCUACAGCUUCUCUCUCUGCAGAAUCAGGAAAGAGUGACAAGGGACUGCCACCGAAUUCCAAGAAGCAAAGUCCACCAAAAAAUGUAGUGGACCCAAAGGAGAGGGGCAAGCUACUAACCACCCCAAGAGCAGCCGAAUUGUCUAAAAAGUUAACUUCACCCAGUUCUUACUCAUCAGUUGUGAAUCAAGGUGGGACAGUAGGUAGCCCUAACCCUGAUGACAACGUACUAUUCACAGAUGAAGGGGUUCCAAAGCUUUUGUCAAGAAAGACUUUGGUAGAGUUUCCUCAGAAAGUUCCAGCUUCAUUCAGAAAACAGGGCUCCAGUUCAGAAGCUCCUCAGAAGAGCCGGAAAGUGACGGACAGUUCAUCUUCCUCUUCCUCCAGCUCCUCCGAUUCAGAGUCUGACGAGGAGGGGGUUGGCUCAAAAGUUGAUUCUCAAGUGAUGAGCAAAGGCAGAGGAAGGGCUCCAAUACCAGAAGCCUCCCAUCCCUUUGAAAAGAGAGCCCCGCAGAUUUCAAAAUCAGCAACAGAGAAGACCUGGUCACCACAGCCCCAUCUGGACCUCCCCUCUCCAGAGAAGCCCCAUCAGGCAAAGAAGAAAGGGACGUCCAUUAAGCCACUGAAGGACAGAAAAGACGAACCGAAACCCACAGUGCCCAAGCCACAAGUAGAUGAAGAGUUUAUGAAGCAAAAUGUGAAGGAAAAAGAGCCCCAGAAACUAUUUAGCUCAAGUAAAGUAGGUAAAGAAAGCCAAACAGCAUCUGAAGGUAAAAAAAGUUCAUCUGACCACGCAAAAUCAGGAUUAGCUACACAGCCGAGUGGUGGCCCAGGGCCCAAGCGAUCGACAGUAGGAACCACUGCAGGGAGACAGCUGCAAGCAGCUCCUCCUGAGACCAGGGGAAGACACCUAGAAAAACAAGCGCCAGAGCCUGGUGGGGAGGUGGCCCUUUUCCCGGUCAGAAAAGAAAAUUUGGGGAAGCAGGUAAUAGAAGGAAUCUCAAAGGCUAACGAAGAGAUUUUGGAAGAUCAGGUACUGAUGAAAAAUUUGAAGCCAGUUCCUGUUCAUAAUAAAGAUGCUUUUGAUGAAAAGACAGCAGUACUAAAGCUUGAGGCAAAGGGCGAAGUCAUGGAAGACUCGGCAACCCAAGUGGGAGACCAGGACGGCACACCGGGUACAUAUGCCUUGACUGUUGAGAACAGCUUGUCCUUCGGGGGUGGUUAGGCUGAAGAACUGUAGGAUAUUAAGGAGGAUAUACAGAUUCUGUAGCAGAAAUAUGGCCUAUAACUCUCAGAUAAGCAGAGGAGUCUCUCUGAAUUAUGAAUAAUACACACCUUAUAUACAUGACCCCUAAAACAUUUGACAUUUAUUUUACAGGGAAAAAGGAGGCCCUUGGCACUCUUAACUGUUCCUUAACCAGGAUAAUUUUGAAAGCUGGCAGUGUAACUCGGCACCCUUGCCUUUGGAGGGUGUGCCAGUGUCCGCUUCAUGACCUUGCAGAGUUGCAGGGGGGGGUCCUGUUUAAUGUGAAGGGUGAUAGCUACACUUGGUCCAGGGGUCCUCAGGUGAGCUAACAGGUGAUAACUUUCAGCAUCCUUGUGCCUGAGGGAAAACCCGCAUAUUAGGGAUUCAAGUAAUUACAAGUGACUCAAGGCAGCCAUGGCCUGGGUAAAUCUUUUCACCGGAUUUUUCCCUUUUUGUUUUACCUGAAAACAGUGGGCUGCUUUAGUUUUCUGUAAUGAAUUUUUAUGAAGGGCUUUUUCCCUACCACAGAUUUUUAAAGGGAAAGUGUUUAUUUCUGUUAUGUAACCAUUUUGUUGUGCAUUGAACUUCAUAAAAUACAGUGUGCUUUAGGUAGGUCAUGGCAAAACAGUAAAGGUCUCAACUUUUAGGAUCUAUCUCCUUAAGAUGCCUUUAAAAUGCAUUACUAACAAACCCACCUCCGUCCUGUCUGUUCUUUAUAAUUUUUAAGGAGCAUGCUUUUUUGCCUCAUAUACAUUACCUGGUCAUUGUUAUCAUUUGUGUUAUGUUGACAGAAUUUACGUGUUUUCUUCCCUCCUUUUUCUCCGUUUGUCAUUAAUAUGCAAAGUGCCGGCACUUACCAGACUGCUCAGGACCUCAAGAACUGCAUUGCCUGCUACUCCUAUUUCCGUCAUUCUGUUGCAUGAGGAAAACCCAAACCUUCAGGAGGAAAACAGAAUUUGGGGUUUUCAGGUUGCAAAUAUUUUUGAAAAAACUUUGCUUCUGAUUUUUCGUGGACGUGUAUUUUCUGAUAUUCUCCUUGCCCUUUGGAGGCACAUGAAGCUGCCCGGGAGCGCAGAGGCUGUGUCUGCGCUGGACUGAAUGUCGCUACGUCCACCUGGCUCCAUGCCUCUGGGGGCAUCGGUUUUUGAUGAGUUUUCUGUACCCAUGUUUACCUUCACUUUGAAGAUGCCCCUACACCACAUCGAAGAUACUCUACUCGUGGAGAUUGGAAAGAUGUCAGUUCUUUAAAUAACACAUUUUGUUUAAUACAACUAAGAAAAAUGAAAAAGCUUUUGAGCCCGCACAGGCCGCCGCUCCCCCUGAGCCGUUUGACAACACCACCUACAAGAAUCUCCAGCAUCAUGACUA